CCAGACUCCUACGGGAGGCAGCAGUGGGGGAUAUUGGACAAUGGGGGGAACCCUGAUCCAGCGACGCCGCGUGAGUGAAGAAGUAUUUCGGUAUGUAAAGCUCUGUCAGCAGGGAAGAAAGAAAUGACGGUACCUGACCAAGAAGCCCCGACUAACUACGUGCCAGCAGCCGCGGUAAUACGUAGGGGGCAAGCGUUAUCCGGAAUUACUGGGUGUAAAGGGAGCGUAGACGGUUAAGUAAGUCUGGAGUGAAAGGCCGGGGCCCAACCCCGGGACUGCAUUGGGAACUGCCCCGCUCGAGUGCCGGAGGGGCAGGCGGAAUUCCUAGUGUAGCGGUGAAAUGCGUAGAUAUUAGGAGGAACACCAGUGGCGAAGGCGGCCUGCUGGACGGUGUACUGACGCUGAGGCUCGAAAGCGUGGGGAGCAAACAGGAUUAGAUACCCGGGUAU
This 449-nucleotide ribosomal RNA is filed under the name uncultured bacterium. RNAcentral describes it as "bacterial SSU rRNA". It matches the Rfam family "Bacterial small subunit ribosomal RNA", at positions 331 to 793 of the family's 1533-position model. The record is from RNAcentral.